GAUGAAGAACGUAGCGAAAUGCGAUAAGUAGUGUGAAUUGCAGAAUUCAGUGAAUCAUCGAAUCUUUGAACGCACAUUGCGCCCCUUGGUAUUCCGAGGGGCAUGCCUGUUCGAGCGUCAUUAUAACCCUUCAAGCUCAGCUUGGUGUUGGGGCCUGCUGUAACUGGUAGCCCUUAAAAUCAGUGGCAGUGCUAUUAGGCUCUAAGCGUAGUAAUUCUUCUCGCUAUAGUGUGUAGUGAGCGCUUGCCAGAACCCCAUACUUUUAUAUGAUUGACCUCGGAUCAGGUAGGGAUACCCGCUGAACUUAAGCAUAUCAAUAAGCGGAGGA
This 328-nucleotide unclassified non-coding RNA is filed under the name soil metagenome. Its description in RNAcentral is "partial contains 5.8S ribosomal RNA, internal transcribed spacer 2, and large subunit ribosomal RNA". The stretch from base 1 to 120 matches the Rfam family "5.8S ribosomal RNA", at positions 35 to 154 of the family's 154-position model. The record is from RNAcentral.